AUCCAGUUGAUGAGUCCCAAAUAGGACGAAAAACGCGCCCUGGAU
Molecule: non-coding RNA, 45 nt
Filed under: Schistosoma curassoni
Lineage: Eukaryota; Metazoa; Platyhelminthes; Trematoda; Strigeidida; Schistosomatidae
Source: RNAcentral